GUGUUCUCAUCUCAACCAGAAGGAAGAAUAGUAGUUCCCUGGUGUUUGGAAACUGAAGGCAAAGGAGAAAAGAAACAGAGAGGAUGAUUGGAUAUUCUUACAAGUAUCAGGCUGUGGAACAGAAGCUACUCACUUGCCUUGUGAUCUGUUAAUAGCUGAUUAAACUAUAAUAAAAGAAAUGUCACCAAGAUGAAACUAUGAAAGAAGAGGAGAGAAAGAAGAGGGAAACAAGUGAUGCCUGAGAAUUCUGAAUGGAAUAACUGCCAAAUUCUUUAGAGUUUAAAUAUGAUUAACAACCAUCACACCCUAACAGGGUGAGA
Microcebus murinus (gray mouse lemur) is the source of this 320-nucleotide non-coding RNA. NCBI's taxonomy places the organism in Eukaryota, Metazoa, Chordata, Mammalia, Primates, Cheirogaleidae. The record is from RefSeq and is a predicted model, not a curated record.